CCUACGGGUGGCAGCAGUGAGGAAUAUUGGUCAAUGGACGAGAGUCUGAACCAGCCAAGUAGCGUGAAGGAUGACUGCCCUAUGGGUUGUAAACUUCUUUUAUAUGGGAAUAAAACGUUCCACGUGUGGGAUUUUGUAUGUACCAUAUGAAUAAGGAUCGGCUAACUCCGUGCCAGCAGCCGCGGUAAUACGGAGGAUCCGAGCGUUAUCCGGAUUUAUUGGGUUUAAAGGGAGCGUAGGUGGAUUGUUAAGUGUGUUGUGAAAGUUUGCGGCUCAACCGUAAAAUUGCAGUUGAAACUGGCAGUCUUGAGUACAGUAGAGGUGGGCGGAAUUCGUGGUGUAGCGGUGAAAUGCUUAGAUAUCACGAAGAACUCCGAUUGCGAAGGCAGUUCACUGGACUGCAACUGACACUGAGGCUCGAAGGUGUGGGUAUCAAACAGGAUUAGAUACCCUUGUAGUC
This 460-nucleotide ribosomal RNA is filed under the name uncultured bacterium. RNAcentral's name for it is "partial 16S ribosomal RNA". It matches the Rfam family "Bacterial small subunit ribosomal RNA", at positions 338 to 795 of the family's 1533-position model. The record is from RNAcentral.